UGCCAGCAGCCGCGGUAACACGGGGGGCGCAAGCGUUAUUCGGAAUUAUUGGGCGUAAAGGGCGCGUAGGCGGUCUUGUCGGUCAGAUGUGAAAGCCCGGGGCUCAACCCUGGAAGUGCAUUUGAAACAGCAAAACUUGAGAUCGGAAGAGGAAAGCGGAAUUUCUAGUGUAGAGGUGAAAUUCGUAGAUAUUAGAAGGAACAUCAGAGGCGAAGGCGGCUUUCUGGACCGAUACUGACGCUGAGACGCGAAAGCGUGGGGAGCAAACAGGAUUAGAUA
Molecule: ribosomal RNA, 279 nt
Filed under: uncultured bacterium
Lineage: Bacteria
Description: partial 16S ribosomal RNA
Rfam family: Bacterial small subunit ribosomal RNA
Source: RNAcentral